This 420-nucleotide ribosomal RNA is filed under the name uncultured bacterium. RNAcentral's name for it is "partial 16S ribosomal RNA". It matches the Rfam family "Bacterial small subunit ribosomal RNA", at positions 361 to 773 of the family's 1533-position model. The record is from RNAcentral.
AUUUUGGACAAUGGGGGCAACCCUGAUCCAGCCAUCCCGCGUGUGCGAUGAAGGCNUUNNGGUUGNANAGCACUUUUGGCAGGNNNNNAACAGCCUGGGCGAAUACCCUGGGCGACUGACGGUACCUGCAGAAUAAGCACCGGCUAACUACGUCCCAGCAGCCGCGGUAAUACGUAGGGCGCAAGCGUUAAUCGGAAUUACUGGGCGUAAAGCGUGCGCAGGCGGUUCGGCAAGAAGGAUGUGAAAUCCCAGGGCUUAACCUUGGAACUGCAUUCUUAACUGCCGGGCUAGAGUAUGUCAGAGGGGGGUAGAAUUCCGCGUGUAGCAGUGAAAUGCGUAGAGAUGCGGAGGAAUACCGAUGGCGAAGGCAGCCCCCUGGGAUAAUACUGACGCUCAUGCACGAAAGCGUGGGGAGCAAAC